RNAcentral lists this ribosomal RNA (445 nucleotides) under uncultured bacterium. RNAcentral describes it as "bacterial SSU rRNA". It matches the Rfam family "Bacterial small subunit ribosomal RNA", at positions 354 to 796 of the family's 1533-position model. The record is from RNAcentral.
GUAAGGAAUAUUGGACAAUGGGCGCAAGCCUGAUCCAGCCAUCCCGCGUGCAGGAUGACGGCCCUAUGGGUUGUAAACUGCUUUUAUUUGGGAAGAAACGAAUUCAUUUAUGAGUUCCUGACGGUACCUUAUGAAUAAGCACCGGCUAACUCCGUGCCAGCAGCCGCGGUAAUACGGAGGGUGCAAACGUUGCUCGGAAUCACUGGGCGUAAAGCGCUCGUAGGCGGAUUGGUCAGUCAGAGGUGAAAGCCCAGGGCUCAACCUUGGAAUUGCCUUUGAUACUGCCAGUCUUGAGUUCGGGAGAGGUGAGCGGAAUUCCGAGUGUAGAGGUGAAAUUCGUAGAUAUUCGGAGGAACACCAGUGGCGAAGGCGGCUCACUGGCUCGAUACUGACGCUGAGGUGCGAAAGUGUGGGGAGCAAACAGGAUUAGAUACCCGUGUAGUCC